ACAUCCAGCGAACUUGGGCAGAGAUGCCUUGGUGCCUUCGGGAACGCUGAGACAGGUGCUGCAUGGCUGUCGUCAGCUCGUGUUGUGAAAUGUUGGGUUAAGUCCCGNAACGAGCGCAACCCUUAUCCUUUGUUGCCAGCGAUUCGGUCGGGAACUCAAAGGAGACUGCCGGUGAUAAACCGGAGGAAGGUGGGGAUGACGUCAAGUCAUCAUGGCCCUUACGAGUAGGGCUACACACGUGCUACAAUGGCGCAUACAAAGAGAAGCGACCUCGCGAGAGCAAGCGGACUUCAUAAAGUGCGUCGUAGUCCGGAUCGGAGUCUGCAACUCGACUCCGUGAAGUCGGAAUCGCUAGUAAUCGUGGAUCAGAAUGCCACGGUGAAUACGUUCCCGGGCCUUGUACACACCGCCCGUCACACCAUGGGAGUGGGUUGCAAAAGAAGUAGGUAGCUUAACCUUCGGGAGGGCGCUUACCACUUUGUGAUUCAUGACUGGGGUGAAGUCGUAACAAGGUAAGCGUAGCGAG
Molecule: ribosomal RNA, 526 nt
Filed under: uncultured bacterium
Lineage: Bacteria
Description: bacterial SSU rRNA
Rfam family: Bacterial small subunit ribosomal RNA
Source: RNAcentral